CCUACGGGCGGCACCAGUGGGGAAUAUUGCACAAUGGGCGCAAGCCUGAUGCAGCCAUGCCGCGUGUGUGGAGAAGGCCUUAGGGUUGUAAAGCACUUUCAGCGGGGAGGAAAGCGCCAAGGUUAAUAACCUUGGCGAUUGACGUUACCCGCAGAAGAAGCACCGGCUAACUCCGUGCCAGCAGCCGCGGUAAUACGGAGGGUGCAAGCGUUAAUCGGAAUUACUGGGCGUAAAGCGCACGCAGGCGGUCUGUCAAGUCGGAUGUGAAAUCCCCGGGCUCAACCUGGGAACUGCAUUCGAAACUGGCAGGCUAGAGUCUUGUAGAGGGGGGUAGAAUUCCAGGUGUAGCGGUGAAAUGCGUAGAGAUCUGGAGGAAUACCGGUGGCGAAGGCGGCCCCCUGGACAAAGACUGACGCUCAGGUGCGAAAGCGUGGGGAGCAAACAGGAUUAGAUACCCGGGUAGUC
RNAcentral lists this ribosomal RNA (465 nucleotides) under uncultured bacterium. RNAcentral's name for it is "bacterial SSU rRNA". It matches the Rfam family "Bacterial small subunit ribosomal RNA", at positions 338 to 795 of the family's 1533-position model. The record is from RNAcentral.